UUUUCUGCUUUUACUGUAACCUUCAUAAGUUUGCUAACUUGUUUGCCUUCCUUUCUUCCCAUCAGUUCAUUUUGGUGAGACUUCUUGAAUGAUUUCUUUAACAGCGGUAUUUAGAGAAAAUCCUACUUUUCUUCUUUAUUUCCCCUCCUUAUAUAUGUUGACCUUUUAAGAAAACUGUCAUUGUCCUUUGCUUUACUCAGGUGAGACAAAAAUGAGUCCCCUCAUGUAAGUAUAUGAGGGAUAGUUUUGUAAUACAUUAAUUCCACCUCCUCCUUAUCACUUCAAGGUAGUUUGCCUUCAAGUGUACUAUUUUAGCUUAGGUUUUUGAAAGAUAUGAUGCUUUCCAGUUGCCAAGUGAACAUAAAAUAUAACUGCAUCAAUUAGGAGUUGAUAGGUAUGAAAAACUAAACUACUACUAAGAAUAUUAAAUUAAAUCUAUUAAAAUUCAAUUGAGCAGGAUCCUGUAAAGAGGACAGAUGGGAAAAUAUGUGUGCUAAACAAAAAGACUGUGGGGCUGAUUACUUCUGUCUGUGGAGGAUGGGGUGACACGUUUUAUGUUGCCCUUGUUGCUAUAUCUAAGUACUUGUACACUUUAUCCUUCUCUGGUAACUCCCUCCCUUAAUCUCAAACCACUUAAAAGUGCUGGGAACUUAAUAUUUUUUUACUUCGUCUAAGGAGGAGAAUCUGUAUUUUAGUCAGAGGUAAAUAUCAGACAAUUGGAAUACCAUUCAAAGUGGAAGAAUAGGAGCCUACAGACAGGCUUCCAAGUUUCCUGAUGCAGUAUUUUAUUUCCUGUGACACCUGUAAAGAAUUAGCACUUGUUUCAGACUUUUUUCUGUGUACAUUAAUAACUCUUCUAUAUCAGCAUAAAAUAGUCUACUGUUCAUAUUCUCAAUUUAUAUUUUCCUGAAACACAGCAAAUUUAUCAGCAAUACCAUAAAUUGCAGCUUCAAAUUAAGGUGGGAGGGGAUAAUUUUAGAGCCAAAUUUUGCUCUCAAUUACACUGAGAUAAACCUGGAAUCGCUCUGUGAAAGUCAGUGGAGUGAUAUCCAAUUUGACUGGUAUAAUUGAGUGUCUAAUUUGUGUCUUUAAUUUUACUUGCAAGAUAAUUUUACAGACCUGUUAUACUUAUGUUUCCAAUGCUUUUUCCUUUCAGACACACCCACUUCUUGCGUCUCAGCACUGGGCAGGCCUAUUCCUUUAUUUGUGUAUAUUUUUGUGCAUCAGCUGCUAUAGGACACGGGUGUAACGCUUUCAGGCAUGUGGUUGGGUGUCUUUUUGGGGGAAAGAUUUCUGGGUUUGUAAUAAUGUCUAAAAAAAAGAAUUUCAUUUCCUCAAAUUUGUUGAACAAAUUCAUGUUGGCUCACAGUUUUGCAUCUCUGACCUGAUUUUAUAUAUAUUACAUGAAGAUUUUCUUGAAAGAAAGACAAUGCUAGUUCUUUGCAGUGUCUGCAAAUUACCUUUGGUGGGGAGAGUUGAUCAAAAUUUACUGCAUUCUGCAGAAGUUAAUGUCUUAAUAUUUAAUGUUGCUGGAAAGGUGGGUUUUUUACAUAUCAUGCUCCUUCCUCUUUACGGAAUGGCUUUCAAAUCCUUGUAUUGAUCUUGGUUGUGCCCAGUGCUUUGCCUAGCGUAUGGGGAAAUGUUGUAGAACUUGAAUAAGCCAUGACAUCUUAGACAGAGGAUGGUGAUUAUGUGCGUGCUGAACAAGAACUUCUUCUGUAUGCCCUUCUGCUGCAACAGAGUAAUAAAACUGGUAGGUGGCAGCAGCAGCAGAAGAAACUCAUGUGACUGUGACCUGACAAACCUCCAGUACUGGGAGAAAUGGAUUGCAAAAUAUUAACUGAAGUAAGGGGGACGGAGGAGAGAGGCAGAGUCCCUGAACUGUCUCUUUGAAUGGAAUGUAAUGCUUGUGAAAGAUGCUGGAUCAACAGUUGCAGAGAUUGAACUCCUCUACCCACAGGAAAGGUUUUUCUACACCAGCAGGAGGUCUUCUGUCUUACGGGGACACUUAUCUCUUGAUAUGCCCCCUUCACAAUGAAAGGAAGAAAGGAUGGACCAGCAGCAUUGUGGAAUGGGGUGAUGUCCACACUUGGGGUUAACAGUCGUAAUGAACACUGUCCUACUAACAUGGAGAACUGAAUAAAAGAGUUGAAUUCUGAUUCAA
Molecule: long non-coding RNA, 2164 nt
Organism: Harpia harpyja (harpy eagle)
Lineage: Eukaryota; Metazoa; Chordata; Aves; Accipitriformes; Accipitridae
Exons: 3
Source: RefSeq, a predicted model, not a curated record